Molecule: ribosomal RNA, 453 nt
Filed under: uncultured bacterium
Lineage: Bacteria
Description: bacterial SSU rRNA
Rfam family: Bacterial small subunit ribosomal RNA
Source: RNAcentral
AUUGAACGCUGGCGGCAUGCCUAACACAUGCAAGUCGAACGGCAGCACGGGGGCAACCCUGGUGGCGAGUGGCGGACGGGUGAGGAAUGCAUAGGAAUCUGCCCAGUUGUGGGGGAUAACGUAGGGAAACUUACGCUAAUACCGCAUACGACCUACGGGUGAAAGAGGGGGACCUUCGGGCCUCUCGCGAUUGGAUGAGCCUAUGCCGGAUUAGCUAGUUGGCGGGGUAAGAGCCCACCAAGGCGACGAUCCGUAGCUGGUCUGAGAGGAUGAUCAGCCACACUGGAACUGAGACACGGUCCAGACUCCUACGGGAGGCAGCAGUGGGGAAUAUUGGACAAUGGGCGCAAGCCUGAUCCAGCAAUGCCGCGUGUGUGAAGAAGGCCUUCGGGUUGUAAAGCACUUUUGUUUGGGAAGAAAUCCGGUUGGUUAAUACCUGAUCGGGAUGACGGU